This 567-nucleotide long non-coding RNA is filed under the name Homo sapiens (human). RNAcentral describes it as "LNC_000798". The record is from RNAcentral. Lineage: Eukaryota; Metazoa; Chordata; Mammalia; Primates; Hominidae.
CUUCGUGUUCCUUGGGAUACAGGGUGUGGGCAGCUGUGAGGAUCCAGCGGUCGCCCAGCAGGGCCCCGCCCCCGCGCCCGUGGAUGUUGGUGAACACCUGCCAGGGGAAGUUGCCCAUCUUGGCUUUUUGCCCUCCGAUGAUGCGCUGCCUCUGUUCCACGGGGUUCACGGGCUUCCCACACACUGGCAAGCACCGAGGAAUCUUCUCUCCCUUCUGUUCAUUCUUCCAAAUGCCCUGUGCUGUGCAGGUGUACACCCCUUGCUCAGACUCCCUGCUGCCAGCUCUGGUCUGCAUCUUGUAAUAUGGCUCAUGGCAGUAGUACUGGAUACGGGCCUUGUAGGUGUUCACUCCCAUUGUGGUGGUGUAACGGAAGUCACCAUUAGGCAGGUUUCGGGGCUGCCCACAGUCCUUGAUCUUGCAUCUGGGCAUGGCACGAUGCCACGUGCCAUCAUCCUGGCAGACAGCUGUGAAGGAAUGCAGCACCUGGUUCCCCUCUAUGAGCUGGUAGCCUUGCUUGCAGGUAGCAAUGAAGUAGUCACGGAACUGGUACUGAGGCUGCAGGUUCU